Molecule: ribosomal RNA, 252 nt
Filed under: uncultured bacterium
Lineage: Bacteria
Description: partial 16S ribosomal RNA
Rfam family: Bacterial small subunit ribosomal RNA
Source: RNAcentral
UACGUAGGGGGCGAGCGUUGUCCGGAUUUAUUGGGCGUAAAGGGUGCGUAGGCGGCCUUGUAAGUCAGAUGUGAAAUCUCACGGCUUAACCGUGGUAAGCAUUUGAAACUGUGAGGCUUGAGUACAGGAGAGGAGAGUGGAAUUCCUAGUGUAGCGGUGAAAUGCGUAGAUAUUAGGAGGAAUACCAGUGGCGAAGGCGACUCUCUGGACUGUAACUGACGCUGAGGCACGAAAGCGUGGGGAGCAAACAGG